UUAUGGAAGAUCAAGGUCCCAGCUAAGAUUAAAGUUUUUCUUUGGUUAGUCUACAAAAAAAUUAUACAUACUAGAGACUCCUUAUUGAAGAGGGGGUGGAAAGGAGAAAGUAACUGUGUGUUUUGUGGGAAAGAUGAACCAGUUGAUCAUCUAUUUUUCACAUGUUCGGCUGCUUCUAUGAUGUGGAGUUUAAUCAAAUGUUCAUUUGGGCUGAGAAAAACUCCAUCAGCAGUCCAAGAAUGUUUUGGGGAAUGGUUAGACACAUUUAGGGCGAAUGAUAAGAAAAAGGUGUUAGUUGGGAUUGCUACAGUAUUUUGGGCUUUAUGGAAAUCUAGGAAUGGGAUCAUCUUUGAAAAAAAAAUCUCUGAUCCUAUGACUUUAAUUAAACUGAUGAGCCAUUGGAUGGUAGAUUGGUCAUUUUGCAGAUAA
RNAcentral lists this ribosomal RNA (429 nucleotides) under Triticum aestivum (bread wheat). Its description in RNAcentral is "partial small subunit ribosomal RNA". The record is from RNAcentral. Lineage: Eukaryota; Viridiplantae; Streptophyta; Magnoliopsida; Poales; Poaceae.